Non-coding RNA from Numida meleagris (helmeted guineafowl), 1447 nucleotides. The record is from the annotation of a RefSeq genome assembly. NCBI's taxonomy places the organism in Eukaryota, Metazoa, Chordata, Aves, Galliformes, Numididae.
GCUACUGAGUCACAUCCUCCCCUCAGGCACAGCCCCUGUCCCUCCCACACAGCUGGGGGCUUUCUCUGGGGCAGAGGCAAGCAGGCACCGAGAGAAUGCUGCUGCUGCCAGUUCUGGCCCUGGCUGAAGCCUGCUUGCAUCCAUUCCCCUCCCCAUGGAGGCUCCGCUUGCAGCAGCGGCAGGACGCUGCCAUGCGUACACCUGCAGGCAGCAGGCUGGCAGUGCUUGCUGCGUUUUCUCUCCUUCUGAUAGAUGGACAUGCACAAGUGCUGCUGAAACAGAGCCCACCAUCUCUCACCAGAAAGAGAUUCACAGCUGCGAAUUUUGACUGCAAAGUCGAGGGCAUAGCUGACUUCCAGGGAGCCUACAUCCACUGGUACCGACAAAUGCCUGACGGAGCUCCUGAACGGAUUCUCUAUGUGACAGCAGAAGCAGAAGUUACCUAUGAUUCAGGUUACAAUAAGAACAAGUAUCUGUCUUCUAAAAUACAGAAUAACAUCUGCAUUCUCUCAGUUCUAAACAUAGGUGCUGAUGAUGAAGGUACCUACUACUGUGCCUACUGGGAGUAUCACAGAGGGAGCAGUUUGCAGGCAGCCCCUACAGAAAGCAGGCUGCAACCUGAGAGGCACACUUUCUUUCAAGUGCCGACAACCACAGCUGCCUUCCUGCCCCCAUACCUCAGACUUCAGGACAUCCCCACAAGCUUACACUGAGGAAGGAAAUCCAAGAGAAGAGCCAGGACACUUAUGCGGCAAUCAUGUUCGCAACCCACUGCCUGUGUGACUGUUCUGUGCAGCCUGAGUCCAUUGUUUCCUCUCCCCACCGGCAGUUGUCCUCCAUCUAAUGUUCAUUGCCUAAAUCCCUACAGGCUCAGGCUGGAUGAUGGGCUGACAUCAUCACUUCUGGAUGUUCCUCCUUCAGCUUUAAUCUGGCCUUGCAAGACACUUGUCUGUUUAAAACUUCAACACACAUGUGGACUAAUAAUAACUGUAGUAUUAGAAAAAGUGUCCUCAAGACAGUAAAUUCUGUGCUUACAAAAUUUUACUUGAUUUUCACCGCUGGCACGGCAUCACUAAAGGACUUGAAACAAAAUGAUGAGUCUGUCUCAAGAAAACUGACAGUAGGAGUUUACAGUACCAUUUCUGACGUGAGGUUUAUGCAGCGUGCUGCAGUCAAUAAAGACCUGCAGAAGAUCCCGAGCAGAUUCACUGUCUUAGUCAGAGAAUGGGAAACCUUCCUCAGGAAAGAGCAUGAGGUGGGGCGCGUCUGUUUGUGGGGACAAACAACGUCAGGGGUUGGUGCAGAAGGCUGAGCAGGCCCGCUGAAGCUGUCCUAAGCAAGAGGAAGACAGGAGUUUACCAUGAACUAGUGAAUGUGUUCUACAAAAGCAGGCAGCGCUUUCUAGGAAGACUGAUGAAAUAUGCUUCUUGGUCAGCCCUGGGGGUCU